GAUAGCAAAUUAUGAUUAAAAAAAAUUUUAAUUGAUAAUAGAUACUCGGCUAAUGUGUUGUUUUAUGAUACCUAUUAAGGAAUGAGAUUGUCUGUUGACCAACUAAGGAAGGUCGAUACUCCCCUAGUUGGAUUCUUCGGGGACUUCAUGGGUGUAAAAAGAGAGAUAACAUUACCAGUAACCAUCAAACAGGAGCCUCAAA
This 202-nucleotide long non-coding RNA is filed under the name Elaeis guineensis (African oil palm). RNAcentral's name for it is "long non-coding RNA (EGUI_LNC005167)". Lineage: Eukaryota; Viridiplantae; Streptophyta; Magnoliopsida; Arecales; Arecaceae. The record is from RNAcentral.